CAGCUCUGCAUUUUCCUCAUGAUCACUUCCAUACCUUUCCGUACAUGUGCAAGAUUGAUGUCAGUUGACCAGUGUGGAUUUCUAUGCAGACAAUGUGUGUUUCUGUAUCCUGCGUCAACCAGCAGGUAAAAUUUGACUACCACAGAGACCCAGGGACUGUGAACACAAAGGGUAGCGUUGCAGCUGGGAGAUUUCUAGAACUGGAUCACUGUUCCUGCACGGAGAAGCUGCCUGCCGCCUUGACAGUGUAAAAGAGACAGUGAGUCAGAUUCUGAUCUCGGUGGCACUAGCUGUAACAGAUCACUGUUUGGCUUGGUAGAUUUCUUCUUUUAUUUCUGCAUCCUAGUGGUAGUCACCUGGUUUCUCACUGAAGAUUCUGUUAGAAUAUUUGCCACAAUCAUCUCUGUUCCCCUGUUUGGAAAAGUCUGUCUAUCCUAGCAGUGAGGUCAAUGGGAGAUCUAGAAGUAUGGGAGAGAGCAACAUUAUGUCAGAACUAAGAUUCGUCAUGCAUAUCUGAAAAAAUAAUUUUAUCCUUAUUCAGUGUCCAAGUUAAUUCUCUUAAAGGGAAAUCAGUUUGACUGCUAUCUUAAAAAAUGCACAACAACUCUAGAAAUAAAGCACUGAUCUGUGCCCAUGAGAUUUGAGUCCUGUUCUCAUCCUGACCUGAAUUUUCCACCUAAUUAAGGUCUAAUUCUGAUUAGUUUCUCAGCCAGCUGCCAUUUUUUUCGCCUUGGAAAUAUCCCUUGUGUGCUUCUGGAUCUCAAUUUCAUUAUCUGUAGAACGGGCUAGGGGUACUACCAAGCUUGCAGGGAUGUGUGAGGUCAACAAUGACAUGUAUAAAAUAACAGAGUUUGUUGUUUGCAAGGUGUUAUAGAGCUGCCCUGUGCUUUAUAUCUGUAACAAAUUGAUGGCCAAUUGGGAUGUCAUAGCUGUUGUCAUACUGCGUAGUACUUCCCCAUGGAACUUAGUAGCACCAUGACAGUUGAAUUGUCUUGCUAUAGAACAUGGGCUACCAUUUCCUGAGUAAAGAAAAUCCAAUUUUGAAGCUAUCAGUUUGUGGUCUUUGGCAUUCAGGAGAACAUAAUUCCAUGUUGGACACAUAUACACACAUAUAACACAGCCAAGUUUCACAUAGUAUUAAGACAUCAUUUAAUUAUAUUGGAUGGUUUCUUUUUGUGGCUCUUGAGUA
Molecule: non-coding RNA, 1189 nt
Organism: Struthio camelus australis
Lineage: Eukaryota; Metazoa; Chordata; Aves; Struthioniformes; Struthionidae
Source: RefSeq, a predicted model, not a curated record